AUCAAUAAGCGGAGGAAAAGAAACUAACAAGGAUUCCCCUAGUAACUGCGAGUGAAGCGGGAAAAGCUCAAAUUUAAAAUCUGGUGGUCCUUGCGGCCGUCCGAGUUGUAAUCUGGAGAAGUGCUUUCCGCGCUGGACCGUGUACAAGUCUCUUGGAACAGAGCGUCGUAGAGGGUGAGAAUCCCGUCUUUGACACGGACUACCAGUGCUUUGUGAUGCGCUCUCAAAGAGUCGAGUUGUUUGGGAAUGCAGCUCAAAAUGGGUGGUAAAUUCCAUCUAAAGCUAAAUAUUGGCGAGAGACCGAUAGCGAACAAGUACCGUGAGGGAAAGAUGAAAAGAACUUUGGAAAGAGAGUUAAACAGUACGUGAAAUUGCUGAAAGGGAAACGCUUGAAGUCAGUCGCGUCGGCCGGGACUCAGCCUUGCUUUCGCUUGGUUUAUUUUCUGGUCGACGGGUCAGCAUCAGUUUCGAUCGUCGGACAAUGGCCAGGGGAAUGUGGCAUCUUCGGAUGUGUUAUAGCCCUUGGUCGCAUACGAUGGUUGGGACUGAGGAUCUCAGCGCACCUUUAUGGUCGGGGUUCGCCCACGUUGCGCUUAGGAUGCUGGCAUAAUGGCUUUAAACGACCCGUCUUGAAACACGGACCAAGGAGUCUAACAUGCAUGCGAGUGUUUGGGUGGAAAACCCGAGCGCGCAAUGAAAGUGAAAGUUGAGACCUCUGUCGUGGAGGGCAUCGACGCCCGGACCAGACCUUUUGUGACGGCCCUGCGGUAGAGCAUGUAUGUUGGGACCCGAAAGAUGGUGAACUAUGCCUGAAUAGGGUGAAGCCAGAGGAAACUCUGGUGGAGGCUCGUAGCGAUUCUGACGUGCAAAUCGAUCGUCAAAUUUGGGUAUAGGGGCGAAAGACUAAUCGAACCAUCUAGUAGCUGGUUCC
Molecule: ribosomal RNA, 931 nt
Filed under: Oligoporus balsameus
Lineage: Eukaryota; Fungi; Basidiomycota; Agaricomycetes; Polyporales; Postiaceae
Description: eukaryotic LSU rRNA
Rfam family: Eukaryotic large subunit ribosomal RNA
Source: RNAcentral